Molecule: ribosomal RNA, 200 nt
Filed under: uncultured bacterium
Lineage: Bacteria
Description: partial 16S ribosomal RNA
Rfam family: Bacterial small subunit ribosomal RNA
Source: RNAcentral
AGAGUUUGAUCCUGGCUCAGGACGAACGCUGGCGGCGUGCCUAAUACAUGCAAGUCGAGCGGAUUCACCAAGUUGCUUGCAACUUGGUGGGUUAGCGGCGGACGGGUGAGUAACACGUAGGUAACCUGCCUGCAAGACUGGGAUAACAUUCGGAAACGAAUGCUAAGACCGGAUACGCAAGUCUGGGGCAUCUUGGACUU